GCAUAUCAAUAAGCGGAGGAAAAGAAACCAACAGGGAUUGCCUCAGUAACGGCGAGUGAAGCGGCAACAGCUCAAAUUUGAAAUCUGGCCCCCCGGCCCGAGUUGUAAUUUGCAGAGGAUGCUUUUGGCGAGGUGCCUUCCGAGUUCCCUGGAACGGGACGCCAUAGAGGGUGAGAGCCCCGUCUGGUCGGACACCGAGCCUCUGUAAAGCUCCUUCGACGAGUCGAGUAGUUUGGGAAUGCUGCUCAAAAUGGGAGGUAUAUGUCUUCUAAAGCUAAAUACCGGCCAGAGACCGAUAGCGCACAAGUAGAGUGAUCGAAAGAUGAAAAGCACUUUGAAAAGAGAGUUAAAUAGCACGUGAAAUUGUUGAAAGGGAAGCGUUUAUGACCAGACUUGGCCCGGUUGAUCAUCCAGCGUUCUCGCUGGUGCACUCUGCCGGUCCAGGCCAGCAUCAGUUCGCCGCGGGGGAAAAAGGCUUCGGGAAUGUGGCUCCCUCCGGGGAGUGUUAUAGCCCGUUGCGUAAUACCCUGCGGUGGACUGAGGUCCGCGCUCUGCAAGGAUGCUGGCGUAAUGGUCAUCAACGACCCGUCUUGAAACACGGACCAAGGAGUCGUCUUCGUAUGCGAGUGUUCGGGUGCAAAACCCCUACGCGUAAUGAAAGUGAACGCAGGUGAGAGCUUCGGCGCAUCAUCGACCGAUCCUGAUGUUCUCGGAUGGAUUUGAGUAAGAGCAUACGGGGCCGGACCCGAAAGAAGGUGAACUAUGCCUGUAUAGGGUGAAGCCAGAGGAAACUCUGGUGGAGGCUCGCAGCGGUUCUGACGUGCAAAUCGAUCGUCAAAUAUGGGCAUGGGGGGCGAAAGACUAAUCGAACCUUCUAGUAGCUGGUUUCCGCG
RNAcentral lists this ribosomal RNA (893 nucleotides) under Striaticonidium brachysporum. Its description in RNAcentral is "LSU rRNA". It matches the Rfam family "Eukaryotic large subunit ribosomal RNA", at positions 38 to 962 of the family's 3401-position model. The record is from RNAcentral. Lineage: Eukaryota; Fungi; Ascomycota; Sordariomycetes; Hypocreales; Stachybotryaceae.